AUACGUAGGUGGCAAGCGUUGUCCGGAUUUACUGGGUGUAAAGGGGGCGCAGGCGGGAAGCUAAGUUGGAUGUGAAAUACCGGGGCUCAACUCCGGAGCUGCAUCCAAAACUGGUUUUCUUGAGUGGAGUAGAGGCAAGCGGAAUUCCGAGUGUAGCGGUGAAAUGCGUAGAUAUUCGGAGGGACACCAGUGGCGAAGGCGGGUUGCCGGGCUCUAACCGAACGUGAGGCCCCAAAGCGUGGGGAGCAAACAAGAUUAGAUACCCUGGUAGUCCACGCCGUAAACGAUGAUUACUAGGUGUUGGGGGGCUGCCCCCUUCCGUGCCGCAGUUAACGCAAUAAGUAAUCCACCUGGGGAGUACGGCCGCAAGGCUGAAACUCAAAUGAAUUGGCGGGG
RNAcentral lists this ribosomal RNA (396 nucleotides) under uncultured bacterium. RNAcentral's name for it is "partial 16S ribosomal RNA". It matches the Rfam family "Bacterial small subunit ribosomal RNA", at positions 523 to 918 of the family's 1533-position model. The record is from RNAcentral.